AAGUCGUAACAAGGUAUCCGUAGGUGAACCUGCGGAUGGAUCAUUAUCACGUAUCCACGUAUAAACCAUUGUGAACUGUAACAUUUGCCCUAUGAGAGGAGCUUAGUGAUUGGGAGGGAGAGAGAGCGCAAGCUUUUUCUCUCAACCAUCCUCUCGUAGCGUAAUUUAUCACUUAAAUUAACAAUUUUAACAUAUUUAAUUUAAAUUUUGAACUGAUUUUAUUUCUUACUCUCGUAAAACAGAGAAGAAAUUUCAUUACGAAACAUAAGAACAACUCUUAGCAACGGAUAUCUUGGUUCUC
Molecule: unclassified non-coding RNA, 301 nt
Filed under: fungal sp.
Lineage: Eukaryota; Fungi
Description: partial internal transcribed spacer region
Rfam family: Eukaryotic small subunit ribosomal RNA (bases 1-46)
Source: RNAcentral